GGGGAUUUAGCUCAGUGGUAGAGCACUUGCCUAGCAAGCAUAAGGCCCUGGGUUCGGUCCCCAGCUCCA
This 69-nucleotide transfer RNA is filed under the name Rattus norvegicus (Norway rat). It matches the Rfam family "tRNA". From Rfam's summary of the family: Transfer RNA (tRNA) molecules are approximately 80 nucleotides in length. Their secondary structure includes four short double-helical elements and three loops (D, anti-codon, and T loops). The record is from Rfam by way of RNAcentral. Lineage: Eukaryota; Metazoa; Chordata; Mammalia; Rodentia; Muridae.